RNAcentral lists this ribosomal RNA (626 nucleotides) under uncultured Nocardioides sp. RNAcentral's name for it is "bacterial SSU rRNA". It matches the Rfam family "Bacterial small subunit ribosomal RNA", at positions 338 to 974 of the family's 1533-position model. Lineage: Bacteria; Bacillati; Actinomycetota; Actinomycetes; Propionibacteriales; Nocardioidaceae. The record is from RNAcentral.
CCUACGGGAGGCAGCAGUGGGGAAUAUUGGACAAUGGGCGGAAGCCUGAUCCAGCAACGCCGCGUGAGGGAUGACGGCCUUCGGGUUGUAAACCUCUUUCAGUACCGACGAAGCGCAAGUGACGGUAGGUACAGAAGGAGCACCGGCCAACUACGUGCCAGCAGCCGCGGUAAUACGUAGGGUGCGAGCGUUGUCCGGAAUUAUUGGGCGUAAAGGGCUCGUAGGCGGUUUGUCGCGUCGGGAGUGAAAACGCCGUGCUUAACACGGCGCUUGCUUUCGAUACGGGCAGACUAGAGGUAUUCAGGGGAGAACGGAAUUCCUGGUGUAGCGGUGAAAUGCGCAGAUAUCAGGAGGAACACCGGUGGCGAAGGCGGUUCUCUGGGAAUGACCUGACGCUGAGGAGCGAAAGUGUGGGGAGCGAACAGGAUUAGAUACCCUGGUAGUCCACACCGUAAACGUUGGGCGCUAGGUGUGGGGUCCAUUCCACGGAUUCCGUGCCGCAGCUAACGCAUUAAGCGCCCCGCCUGGGGAGUACGGCCGCAAGGCUAAAACUCAAAGGAAUUGACGGGGGCCCGCACAAGCGGCGGAGCAUGCGGAUUAAUUCGAUGCAACGCGAAGAACCUUAC